GACCUUAGUCCAGGCGCCUGCCCGAAUCGUGCUCGGGUGGAUAAGUCUGAUCUGAGCACCACAGGGGCCGGGCGCCUGGACCAAGGGGG
Macaca nemestrina (pig-tailed macaque) is the source of this 89-nucleotide microRNA precursor. The record is from Ensembl. Lineage: Eukaryota; Metazoa; Chordata; Mammalia; Primates; Cercopithecidae.